Molecule: long non-coding RNA, 305 nt
Filed under: Elaeis guineensis (African oil palm)
Lineage: Eukaryota; Viridiplantae; Streptophyta; Magnoliopsida; Arecales; Arecaceae
Description: long non-coding RNA (EGUI_LNC030319)
Source: RNAcentral
ACUCUCCCUUGCUCUCUCUCACACAUCAAUUCCAUCUCAUGAUCUCUUCCAAUCUCCCACUCCAGAUAUGGCAAUUUUAGCCGACUAACGGAUUAUUCAACUUAAUCGAUCCAAAUGGAAGGGGGAGGAGGGAGGGGGAGGGUUUAUCGGAUGUAUUAGAACUCGGGAUGGGCAUGAAUCUUAGAAAAAAAAUAAAGUAGUUUUGGAUUGAUAUGGAUAAUCGUAUGCCCAUCUCGAACUCAAUUCGAUAUAAUUUUAAUCUAAACCUCCUUUCAAAAUUAUAAUUAUUUUAUAAUAUUUACAUA